CGAUAGCUCAGUUGGUAGAGCGGGGGACUGUAGAUUUAUAAUUGUGAUCCCUAGAUCGCUGGUUCGAAUCCGGCUCG
RNAcentral lists this transfer RNA (77 nucleotides) under Nematostella vectensis (starlet sea anemone). It matches the Rfam family "tRNA", at positions 5 to 66 of the family's 71-position model. From Rfam's summary of the family: Transfer RNA (tRNA) molecules are approximately 80 nucleotides in length. Their secondary structure includes four short double-helical elements and three loops (D, anti-codon, and T loops). Further hydrogen bonds mediate the characteristic L-shaped molecular structure. tRNAs have two regions of fundamental functional importance: the anti-codon, which is responsible for specific mRNA codon recognition, and the 3' end, to which the tRNAs corresponding amino acid is attached (by aminoacyl-tRNA synthetases). tRNAs cope with the degeneracy of the genetic code in two manners: having more than one tRNA (with a specific anti-codon) for a particular amino acid; and 'wobble' base-pairing, i.e. permitting non-standard base-pairing at the 3rd anti-codon position. Lineage: Eukaryota; Metazoa; Cnidaria; Anthozoa; Actiniaria; Edwardsiidae. The record is from Rfam by way of RNAcentral.